This 170-nucleotide non-coding RNA is filed under the name Natrialba magadii ATCC 43099. Its description in RNAcentral is "Sense overlapping transcript RNA 0042 (sot)". It matches the Rfam family "Sense overlapping transcript RNA 0042 (sot)". Rfam says of the family: It is associated with IS1341-type transposase (tnpB) genes, at the 3'-end in H. salinarum NRC-1. The tetraloop structural motif may be functional. Lineage: Archaea; Methanobacteriati; Methanobacteriota; Halobacteria; Halobacteriales; Natrialbaceae. The record is from Rfam by way of RNAcentral.
AAGUAUCUCCGAGUCUCGCCUGUGACGGAGGAGAUAGGAGUAACGGCUGGUUGGUACAGCCAUCGACGUUCUUGUUUGACAAGAAAACUGGUGUGUUCGCACCUCAAGAGCAGGUCACGUCGUAAACCACAAUACCCCAACGUGGGAAUCCUCGCGCUUCAGCGCGGGGA